ACUGCCUGAUAACCACGUGUUGAAUAGUGUAUAUCUGAUACAUUACAGUACGGAUGUUUCUGUAUUGUUAAAUCAUUUGCUUAUAAAUGUAUACGGAGACAAUGACGGUCGGCUGUAAGAACUAUUCUGACUAAGGAGGGUACUGACCAGAAGUAGAUAAUCCUCACCGUGUCGACUGCGUGAAGGGAACGAUGUGACGUAUCACUCAGGAGCAAUGUGUGCACGCUUCACUGCGCAGACCAUAUAGCCGCCUUAUGCACCGUGCAGGAUGACACCUGAAUUUACUGAAGAAAACAACAAUGAUGUACGUAUCGAAUGGACAGCUAGUAAAUACAUGGUACAAUACUUUGUAACAUUUUGCUUCCGCAGUCGCCCAAGAAAACUCAUAAAAAUAGGCGAAGAAUGUGAAACAUAUGGAUCCAGGAGCGGCGUGUGGUGGAAAUUUUCAGUUCAAUAAAUAUUCAGUUUUAGAGAAUUUGGAUGACCAAAGGCAGUAAUCAGUAUAUCAGAGUAGACACUGCCUGUUCUACUUUGAUGGACAAACCAGUUCAAAAUGCCGGGUAAUAGCAGAUGCGUUUUAAUUUGAAAUAAUUAGAUUUAUUGAUUUUAAAUGAGUUGACAAAUCGAGCACUAUUACAGGGCUUAUAUUGAUUGAUGAUCUACAGAUAUCUAACACACUUUAACCUGUGUAUACAGGUGUGUAUAUAUUUAAUUGUUGCGAUUUGAGAUUCAAAUAAAAGGGGCGCCCCAUUGGCUGUGAAAAUGACAACCAUUUUUUCUUAAAAUCUCUCAAUGACAUAGGAAUAUAUAUAUAUAUAAUUGUUUGUUUGUGCUUUAUAUUAAAUAUUCUAUACAAUUGCA
Long non-coding RNA from Ostrea edulis (European flat oyster), 861 nucleotides. RefSeq lists it as uncharacterized. Lineage: Eukaryota; Metazoa; Mollusca; Bivalvia; Ostreida; Ostreidae. The record is from RefSeq and is a predicted model, not a curated record. The transcript has 2 exons.